AGUCCGCGAGCGAAAGACCGCGCGCGCCAAGCCUGCGCGGAAGUGGUCCUCCUGUGGUGGAGCAGAAGGGCCGGACGCUCCCGGUUUCGAUGGCAACCCCUGCGUCCCGAGCUUCUCUGGGUCCUCCUGAGAUUCUUUCAUUGACUCACAAGAGGGAGAUUAGAAGACCUGCUUUCUCAAUCUCCCACAUCUAAAGAUGCUGAAAAAGAUGAUAUUGACAUCAAUAUCAGAGGAUUCUGACUCAGGCCUAACAUGCUUAUCAUCUGGCACAAAGAGGUCACUUAGAUUGAUGGAAUCAAUGCAUGCAUGGGCUUGAUCUGACCUUAUUCACCACUCCUACGAGAAACCAAUGGAGGAUGCCAAUACCUGAGAAGAUGCUGGAGCCACCAGAUGAAAAGUGCUUGGAGCUUGAGUACCUGAAUGACUUGUGGAGUAAACUUCUACUUACUUCAUUUACUUCAUCCCAACCAAUCAAAUUGGACUAUGAGAUUAAUAAGAAAUGAUUAUUCUGUUAGGCAUUGGGAUUUUGGAUUGUUUAUCACCUUCAGAGCCUUAUAUUCACCCAUCCAGGGCUGGGAUAAAAAGCACUUAAGCAGCCUGGCACACACCAGUCAUCCCCCCCAAUCUGUAAGUACUUGAAAGAAGCAGGUCCUCUUGUAGUGCUGACCCCUGGCUCCUGUGUUUUCCACCACUUCCUCCCUGACUGAGAUCUAGAAUGGGACUUGGUCAGUGCUGCCACUGGAGAACUAAGGAGUUGCAGUUCUUUAUGCCCACAAGUUGCCCUGUUCUGGUAAUGGGCACUGCUUCCUGAGGCUGGGUUCCAACACUGUUUAUAAAGCUUAGUCCUGCUUUUGGAUUUUUUAGCUUAAUAUCCCAGGAGUUCCGAAGAAUGAGACCUUGCUUCGCUUUUGCUGGGUCCUGCACCAGAGCUAUGCCCCCUAAUCCAGAGGCCAUUACAUGUUCAUUAACCAUGGUGAGCAUGGUAAGUUGGCUUUCUGUCUGUUUGUAGUCUUGAGUUUUGCUUAGUCAUAAGUUUAACUUAUGCUGGGAAACCUUGCUCUGCCCUGAUGACCUAGCUGCAGACCAAGCAUUUGCUUAAACUUUGUCCAUUUCUCCUGCAGUUCACUGAGGCACCUUUGCCCCGCUGAGCUGUCAGAGCCUUUACAUUCAGCUGGGCCCACACCUUCCUUUCACCACCUGGGAUGGGUGGGUCUGGAGCAAAGUAUCCUCCUGACAUUCCUCUCCAGCCUAGAGUAAGCAGUGCAGCCUCACAGGGACGUUCUGAGAUUAGCACAGUUCAGGUGUCAUCAGGUCCUUUGUUUUUCCAUUGGCAUUUAGUAUUUCAAUGAAUGCUUUAUAUUGUGAUAAAUAUACUUUAAUUUUAGAGUAUA
Balaenoptera ricei (Rice's whale) is the source of this 1391-nucleotide long non-coding RNA. RefSeq lists it as uncharacterized. The record is from RefSeq and is a predicted model, not a curated record. The transcript has 4 exons. NCBI's taxonomy places the organism in Eukaryota, Metazoa, Chordata, Mammalia, Artiodactyla, Balaenopteridae.